This is a non-coding RNA of Bactrocera oleae (olive fruit fly), 348 nucleotides long. The record is from RefSeq and is a predicted model, not a curated record. Lineage: Eukaryota; Metazoa; Arthropoda; Insecta; Diptera; Tephritidae.
UCAUAGCGGGAGCGCAUUGUUUAAAAAAUGAGUAUGAAAAUCUAUUUGUAGACAUUUUAUUCGUAAAAUCAAAGUGGUAAGGGCUGAAACUUUUCAAAAAUCACGUUUAAAAUUCGAAACGAUUAUGAAGUGUGCAGUGGGUAAUUGUACACAAGGUAGUGAAAACGGGGUUUCAAGCAUACUGCAGUAGAAUUCCAAACAAAUACAAUCAGUCCAGGCUCCUACUCCUAUAGUGAUUUUCGACUUUCCGGUUGACGUUAUACUAUAUUUUAGAUCAAUAUGAUGUUUUAAUGAAAUUAAGUAGCUACAUUCUCACAGCAGGAAAUAAAACAAAACGAUUUAAACAUG